GAUGAACGCUGGCGGCGUGCUUAACACAUGCAAGUCGAACGGAAAGGCCAGUGCUUGCACUGGUGCUCGAGUGGCGAACGGGUGAGUAACACGUGGGUGAUCUGCCCUGCACUUCGGGAUAAGCCUGGGAAACUGGGUCUAAUACCGGAUAGGACAAUGGUUUGGAUGCCGUUGUGGAAAGUUUUUUCGGUGUGGGAUGAGCUCGCGGCCUAUCAGCUUGUUGGUGGGGUAAUGGCCUACCAAGGCGUCGACGGGUAGCCGGCCUGAGAGGGGGUACGGCCACAUUGGGACGGAGAUACGGCCCAGACUCCUACGGGGGGCAGCAGUGGGGAAUAUUGCACAAUGGGCGCAAGCCUGAUGCAGCGACGCCGCGUGGGGGAUGACGGCCUUCGGGUUGUAAACUCCUUUCGCUAGGGACGAAGCGUAUUUGUGACGGUACCUGGAGAAGAAGCACCGGCUAACUACGUG
RNAcentral lists this ribosomal RNA (468 nucleotides) under uncultured bacterium. Its description in RNAcentral is "partial 16S ribosomal RNA". It matches the Rfam family "Bacterial small subunit ribosomal RNA", at positions 28 to 507 of the family's 1533-position model. The record is from RNAcentral.